This is a long non-coding RNA of Maniola jurtina (meadow brown), 99 nucleotides long. RefSeq lists it as uncharacterized. The transcript is spliced from 3 exons. The record is from RefSeq and is a predicted model, not a curated record. Lineage: Eukaryota; Metazoa; Arthropoda; Insecta; Lepidoptera; Nymphalidae.
AGAACUAUUAGUCUAAACCAAAGACUUACAAGACUAACAGUGACAGAUUAACGGUGUUACAAAAAAUGAAACGUAAAUGUGUGCGUGAAAUAGAGUUGU